This 500-nucleotide ribosomal RNA is filed under the name uncultured bacterium. RNAcentral describes it as "partial 16S ribosomal RNA". It matches the Rfam family "Bacterial small subunit ribosomal RNA", at positions 30 to 523 of the family's 1533-position model. The record is from RNAcentral.
AUUGAACGCUGGCGGAAUGCUUUACACAUGCAAGUCGAACGGCGGCACGGACUUCGGUCUGGUGGCGAGUGGCGAACGGGUGAGUAAUGUAUCGGAACGUGCCCAGUCGUGGGGGAUAACGUAGUGAAAAUUACGCUAAUACCGCAUACGAUCUAUGGAUGAAAGCGGGGGAUCGCAAGACCUCGCGCGAUUGGAGCGGCCGAUAUCAGAUUAGGUAGUUGGUGGGGUAAAGGCCCACCAAGCCAACGAUCUGUAGCUGGUCUGAGAGGACGACCAGCCACACUGGAACUGAGACACGGUCCAGACUCCUACGGGAGGCAGCAGUGAGGAAUUUUGGACAAUGGGCGAAAGCCUGAUCCAGCCAUUCCGCGUGCAGGAUGAAGGCCCUCGGGUUGUAAACUGCUUUUGUACAGAACGAAAAGGUUUCUACUAAUACUAGGAGCUCAUGACGGUACUGUAAGAAUAAGCACCGGCUAACUACGUGCCAGCCGCCGCGGUAA